RNAcentral lists this non-coding RNA (70 nucleotides) under unclassified sequences. The record is from RNAcentral.
ACUAACCAAGCAAAGUGCCUUUACGUGGCGGUUAGUAUGAGUAAUUCAUAUUGAAUGAAACCAAACUUUG